CAUUGAAACAUUGGUUCCCGUAUGAUCACUGAAAUUAAGUAACAUUGAGCUUGGUCAGUACCUACUUGGGUGACUGCUUGGGAAUAUCAGGUGCUGUAA
Molecule: non-coding RNA, 99 nt
Organism: Acanthosepion pharaonis
Lineage: Eukaryota; Metazoa; Mollusca; Cephalopoda; Sepiida; Sepiidae
Source: the annotation of a GenBank genome assembly